This 90-nucleotide transfer RNA is filed under the name Cellulomonas terrae. Its description in RNAcentral is "tRNA-Thr". The record is from RNAcentral. Lineage: Bacteria; Bacillati; Actinomycetota; Actinomycetes; Micrococcales; Cellulomonadaceae.
CGGCCUCGUCGCGCGGGCGCUCCUGCGCUCGUGGCGCGGACCCGGCGGACCCGAGGACGUCCUGUGACGGUCCGGUCCGCCGAGCACGGC